AUUUUUCAAGAGAGCCAGGAGGGGGCGCACGUCCACCGAUAAACUGUGAGCAAGAGCGUCCUGUGCUGAGUCCUGACGGCCACCAGAUGGCAUGUGAACCCGCCUCUUCUGACCAUCACCCCUCAGAUGGUGGGAGCCGGGAGACAAGAACUUCAUUCUCCUCAAGGCUCCAGGAUGGAGAUCUUAACUUGAUGCUGUUCAGUG
RNAcentral lists this long non-coding RNA (204 nucleotides) under Pongo abelii (Sumatran orangutan). Its description in RNAcentral is "lincRNA". Lineage: Eukaryota; Metazoa; Chordata; Mammalia; Primates; Hominidae. The record is from RNAcentral.